RNAcentral lists this ribosomal RNA (376 nucleotides) under uncultured bacterium. Its description in RNAcentral is "bacterial SSU rRNA". It matches the Rfam family "Bacterial small subunit ribosomal RNA", at positions 521 to 896 of the family's 1533-position model. The record is from RNAcentral.
UAAUACGGAGGGUGCAAGCGUUAAUCGGAAUUACUGGGCGUAAAGCGCACGUAGGUGGCGAGUUAAGCUAGCUGUGAAAGCCCCGGGCUCAACCUGGGAACUGCAGUUAGAACUGGCUGGCUAGAGUACGGUAGAGGAGUGUGGAAUUUCCUGUGUAGCGGUGAAAUGCGUAGAUAUAGGAAGGAACAUCAGUGGCGAAGGCGGCUACCUGGACCAACACUGACACUGGGGUGCGAAAGCGUGGGGAGCAAACAGGAUUAGAUACCCUGGUAGUCCACGCCGUAAACGAUGUCAACUAGCCGUUGGGACUCUUGAAGUCUUAGUGGCGCAGCUAACGCACUAAGUUGACCGCCUGGGGAGUACGGCCGCAAGGUUA